RNAcentral lists this ribosomal RNA (238 nucleotides) under uncultured bacterium. RNAcentral's name for it is "partial 16S ribosomal RNA". It matches the Rfam family "Bacterial small subunit ribosomal RNA", at positions 524 to 761 of the family's 1533-position model. The record is from RNAcentral.
UACGUAGGGUGCAAGCGUUAUCCGGAUUUACUGGGUUUAAAGGGAGCGUAGGUGGGUCGGUAAGUCAGUGGUGAAAUCUUCGAGCUUAAACUCGGAAACUGCCAUUGAUACUAUCGAUCUUGAAUUAUCUGGAGGUAAGCGGAAUAUGUCAUGUAGCGGUGAAAAUGCUUAGAUAUACAUAGAACACCCAUGCGAAGGCAGCUUCUACGGAUAAUAUUGACACUGAGGCUCGAAAAGC